RNAcentral lists this unclassified non-coding RNA (216 nucleotides) under Hevea brasiliensis (rubber tree). The record is from RNAcentral. Lineage: Eukaryota; Viridiplantae; Streptophyta; Magnoliopsida; Malpighiales; Euphorbiaceae.
AGAUAGACAACAACACAGCAUACUGUUCCUCAAUUUAAACAAUAACCUCAAGACUACUGUUUUUCUGUGCUUUUCACCAACUCUCAAAGCUCAGUGAAUGAAAAUCGCAGAAACAAAACCCAAAUUGAGUAUAAUUAAAAACCCAGAGAGAUUUUUGAAUUUUUUUGAUGGUAAGAGAGUAAAAGCAGAGGGAAUUAUAGAGAGAGAGGAGAGAAG